GACGAACGCUGGCGGCGUGCUUAACACAUGCAAGUCGAACGGAAAGGCCUUUUCGGAGGUACUCGAGUGGCGAACGGGUGCGUAACACGUUGGUGAUCUGCCCUGCACUCUGGGAUAAGCCUGGGAAACUGGGUCUAAUACCGGAUAGGACCGCACUUUAGUGUGUGUGGUGGAAAGUUUUUUCGGUGUAGGAUGAGCCCGCGGCCUAUCAGCUUGUUGGUGGGGUAAUGGCCUACCAAGGCGGCGACGGGUAGCCGGACUGAGAGGUUGGUCGGCCACAUUGGGACUGAGAUACGGCCCAGACUCCUACGGGAGGCAGCAGUGGGGAAUAUUGCACAAUGGGCGCAAGCCUGAUGCAGCGACGCCGCGUGGGGGAUGACGGCCUUCGGGUUGUAAACUCCUUUCGCCAGGGACGAAGCGUUUUGUGACGGUACCUGGAGAAGAAGCACCGGCUAACUACGUG
RNAcentral lists this ribosomal RNA (463 nucleotides) under uncultured bacterium. RNAcentral's name for it is "partial 16S ribosomal RNA". It matches the Rfam family "Bacterial small subunit ribosomal RNA", at positions 28 to 507 of the family's 1533-position model. The record is from RNAcentral.